RNAcentral lists this long non-coding RNA (938 nucleotides) under Takifugu rubripes (torafugu). RNAcentral describes it as "lncRNA (ENSTRUG00000029622.1)". Lineage: Eukaryota; Metazoa; Chordata; Actinopteri; Tetraodontiformes; Tetraodontidae. The record is from RNAcentral.
CUUUGACUUCCUGGUUCUGUUUCUCUUCUCUGAGGUUCCUGUUUUGGAUAAGCUCACGUCAGAAGGCGCACCUUGGGGAUGCUCUUCGAAGGACGGGGUCCAGCUGGCAAACCUCGGCGGCAGGAACGGGAACAGAUGUGAGGGAAACUUUGAUCUGCCUGGGAACCAAAUGUUGAUGUGGAGGAUGGAGGCCGUCUCUGCAGCAGGAUCGGAGAAAUGAGCAACGCAACUUCUGAUUGGCUGGAGGAGCUCCUGAUGGGUUAAAUAUGCACUUUAAGGUGUCGAUAACGGCGCCCAUUUUGGGAAUCCUUCUGCUUCACUUCUGCUUGUUUCGGUUCAUUUCCAUAAAGAACUCCGAGUUUCCUGAUAACUAUUUUUACCCGUCCGUGACGGAUGCGCUCGCUCGGAAAAACCACGGCCCUGGAUUUGGACGUGAGCUGGAUGGAUUCAAACGGGAACCAAAUGACAAGGAUCUGAAGGUGUUCGGCGCAGGAAUACCAAGUAGCGCGUGAGGAGCGCCGCCGCAGACUCUCCAUCAUGUAAACGGCAGCGCGGCUCCAUUCAGCCAUCAUUUAAACGUCAAAGCCGCCUCCGCUUCUAAUACACGUUUUUGAAAAAAAAUAAGGAAGGAGGCCUGGAUAUAAGCGGGAAAGUUAGAUGGGAGAGGAUGUGCUAAGAAAGGAACGAGGAAUGAUAAAAUCCAGGGUUGUCUCCUUUAGCUUGGAAAAGCAGCCAAAACCCAGGAGGCUGUUUUUGAAAGUGCAAACACAAACCCGGCGUUUAAUUACACCUUUUCAUUCCAGUGUGCAGAGGGGGGAGAAGAUGAUCGCUGAUGUGAAUUAUUAGCCUGCCGGUGUGUGACGGGUUCAUUGUGUCAUAAAGUGUUUAAACAAAGUCGCAAACGGCUCAUUUCUGGCCUAAACGAGAAACGCAGAGCG